AUUGAACGCUGGCGGAAUGCUUUACACAUGCAAGUCGAACGGCAGCACGGACUUCGGUCUGGUGGCGAGUGGCGAACGGGUGAGUAAUGUAUCGGAACGUGCCCAGUCGUGGGGGAUAACGUAGUGAAAAUUACGCUAAUACCGCAUACGAUCGAUGGAUGAAAGCGGGGGAUCGCAAGACCUCGCGCGAUUGGAGCGGCCGAUAUCAAAUUAGGUAGUUGGUGGGGUAAAGGCCCACCAAGCCAACGAUCUGUAGCUGGUCUGAGAGGACGACCAGCCACACUGGAACUGAGACACGGUCCAGACUCCUACGGGAGGCAGCAGUGGGGAAUUUUGGACAAUGGGCGAAAGCCUGAUCCAGCCAUUCCGCGUGCAGGAUGAAGGCCCUCGGGUUGUAAACUGCUUUUGUACAGAACGAAAAGGUUUCUACUAAUACUAGGAGCUCAUGACGGUACUGUAAGAAUAAGCACCGGCUAACUACGUGCCAGCAGCCGCCGUAA
RNAcentral lists this ribosomal RNA (500 nucleotides) under uncultured bacterium. RNAcentral's name for it is "partial 16S ribosomal RNA". It matches the Rfam family "Bacterial small subunit ribosomal RNA", at positions 30 to 523 of the family's 1533-position model. The record is from RNAcentral.